RNAcentral lists this unclassified non-coding RNA (242 nucleotides) under Hevea brasiliensis (rubber tree). Lineage: Eukaryota; Viridiplantae; Streptophyta; Magnoliopsida; Malpighiales; Euphorbiaceae. The record is from RNAcentral.
GUAGAAUUUAAUUCACUUGCCAAAUCAAAUAAAUUAUAAGAUUUUUUGAGUUUAUUUGAAUUUUAUAUCUAAGAACUUGUCAGUUAUUGAGCUUCACAUUUAAGGUUAGAAUUGUAUCAAAAAAAUCCCUAAGAUUCAUAAAAGUUUAAAAUUCUGUAUUUUUAUCUGCAUCUAGUGAAAGGUUUACUUGCUUAUUGAUAGACUAAUAUAUUGCUAAAUCUUUAAGGGCAUGGAGUUUAAAU